RNAcentral lists this ribosomal RNA (919 nucleotides) under uncultured Burkholderiales bacterium. Its description in RNAcentral is "bacterial SSU rRNA". It matches the Rfam family "Bacterial small subunit ribosomal RNA", at positions 56 to 976 of the family's 1533-position model. The record is from RNAcentral. Lineage: Bacteria; Pseudomonadati; Pseudomonadota; Betaproteobacteria; Burkholderiales.
UGCAGUCGAACGGUAGAGGGGGCAACCCCUCGAGAGUGGCGAACGGGCUUGUAAUAUAUCGGAACGUGCCCAGUCGUGGGGGAUAAUGUAGCGAAAGUUACGCUAAUACCGCAUACGAUCUACGGAUGAAAGCGGGGGAUCGCAAGACCUCGCGCGAUUGGAGCGGCCGAUAUCAGAUUAGGUAGUUGGUGGGGUAAAGGCUCACCAAGCCAACGAUCUGUAGCUGGUCUGAGAGGACGACCAGCCACACUGGAACUGAGACACGGUCCAGACUCCUACGGGAGGCAGCAGUGGGGAAUUUUGGACAAUGGGGGAAACCCUGAUCCAGCAAUGCCGCGUGUGUGAAGAAGGCCUUCGAGUUGUAAAGCACUUUUGUCAGGAACGAAACGGUGGGGGCUAAUACCUCCUGCUAAUGACGGUACCUGAAGAAUAAGCACCGGCUAACUACGUGCCAGCAGCCGCGGUAAUACGUAGGGUGCGAGCGUUAAUCGGAAUUACUGGGCGUAAAGCGUGCGCAGGCGGUUGUGCAAGACAGAUGUGAAAUCCCCGGGCUUAACCUGGGAAUUGCAUUUGUGACUGCACGGCUAGAGUGUGUCAGAGGGGGGUAGAAUUCCACGUGUAGCAGUGAAAUGCGUAGAUAUGUGGAGGAAUACCGAUGGCGAAGGCAGCCCCCUGGGAUAACACUGACGCUCAUGCACGAAAGCGUGGGGAGCAAACAGGAUUAGAUACCCUGGUAGUCCACGCCCUAAACGAUGUCUACUAGUUGUCGGGUCUUAAUUGACUUGGUAACGCAGCUAACGCGUGAAGUAGACCGCCUGGGGAGUACGGUCGCAAGAUUAAAACUCAAAGGAAUUGACGGGGACCCGCACAAGCGGUGGAUGAUGUGGAUUAAUUCGAUGCAACGCGAAAAACCUUACCU